UCUAGGUGAUAUUAAAGGCUAGGCUCAGUAAUAUUAAAUUAGUUAGGCUACUUCCAUGAUUUCGCUAUUGUGCAUCAUGCUACCAUGAACAUGGGUAUACAAAUAUUGUACUUAAUCGCUUUAAUUAACACUGAAUGUACAGGUCCAGUAUGGCUCAACUAUGAAGUAAAAGGGUCAUCAGUGAAUGAUGUGCAAUAAAACCCUAGCCACACCUGGGUGGUGAGCCUAGCUUUUUUGUAUUUUUUCAUUUUAUAAAUUUUCUAGAAUGUACAUUUAUCUAGUUCUCAAAAUAUAAGUGGUGUGCCAUCUAACAGCAUUACCAAUUGAGAAAAAGUGAGUCCCUUUGCCCCAUUAAACCAUUGUACAUGGAGUUGUUGCUGUCAGUGUUGAAGUAAGGUGCUCCUAGAUGAUGCAGAAGUUUCAAAACUUGAAGUUCAAGAAUCAAAAAAGUAGGUCACCUGGUUGGUUGCUGAUAACCCCCGACAGUGAAGUUCUAGGAUAAACAAUUACUUCACUGUUUUUACUACCUAUGAAACUUGAGUUGAAGGAGCAACACAUCCCGCCACCACCAGCCUCAUGAAAGUCUUCUUGAAACGUAUCUCUUUCCCUCACUGCUUACAUUUAUUGAGCAGAAAAAACUGCAGGUGUAAACCCCACACAGUAACUUGAGGUCAGAGAGAUGGAGACACCCCCAUGGCCUGUCCCUGUCCCCACUGGCCCCCAGGUGGAGAUUGCACUGGGACAGGUAAGGGGCCAGAAGACAGCAAACAGACAGUUUUGUCUAGACACAUACUUAAUAAUUCUUGAAUAAAGGAACCUCUCAGCACCACAUCUAGCAACUUUGAAUGUAACUGGCUGCUGGCUGCAGUCCCGCUUGCUAAGCUGCCUGCAGAGAUGGGAUGGUGACUCAUGAUGUCUCCUGCCUCUUUCCUGAAAUGUUGCAGCCAUCGCUUAUUUAUUCUCCGUCUAUACCCACUGGGUCCUAUUACGUGCAUGUCCCUAAUGGCUGGUGGGGAUAAAAAGUGAAUGAAAUGGGGUUUGUGCCCUCCUGGAGCUCUCCACUCUGAGCCCUAACGCUGUGGUCUGUCUCUAUUGCAGGAGCAAGGAGAGGGAAGACUGGAAUGGGAAUGGCAGACAAGGCUUCCCAGAGGAGGAGGGAAACAGGAGGAGAUAUCUCCAACGGGAGGAGAAGGAGGUGCUGGCCUCGCUUCCCCGAGGAUGCCAGAGCACAAAAGUGGGAGGAGGCGUCUUGCCUCCCCACCGCCGUCUCUCUCCCUCUGCCCAGGUCCAGUUAGACGGGUUCUGUCGGGAAGACGGCACUAAAAACUUGGCAAGGGGCAGGUUCUUACCAGCCUGCCCAGCCUCCCUCCGGGUGAGAAGGCCGGAUCAGAGUCAGGAACUGUUGUAGCCCAUGUCAGACACAUACAUGACCGUGGGGACAACUCUGUGAGAAAACGCUUCUUAGAAUCCUCUCUAGUUUGAAAACGUACGAUGUCACAGCUUUUUAGGACCCGAUGCAGAUGAAGGUGGGUGAUGGGCACGGGGGGGGGGCUUCCUACCAGCGACCGACUCCCGGAAGGGCGACCGACACCCAGCAGGCGAGCCCUCCAGGCCAGGCCAAGAGAGUCAAGCACAAUCCCAGAAACAUGCAAGGCUGACAGGACCCCUGUGACCUAAUGGCACCACUGGGACACAAGCUGGAGCCGCUGGGCUAAUGGCCGACCUCUGGGCAGGCGCUUCACCCUCUGCAUACAGUUGUCGAAGAAUUCUGAUGAAACAAUUAGAAAUGUUCUUGUUUUAACUGGCAGACUAGCAGACUCUUUCUUAAUUUGCUGUUGCUAUUACAGAAAGAUCGUGACAAAAAUAGCUGUUACUAAGGUAGCAGCACUACACCAUGGCUCCUUCACUCCUGCGGACCCCUGAGGCCGUGACAAGGGGGACGCAGGCGGGGUUAGGGCCAGGCCUAGUGGGCGGCACCUGACGAGGUGGUGUCCUCAGACCAGCGUGUUACAGGUGGGGGUCCUCUCCCACUCGCCCACAGAGUGUUCUGACGUGGUGCUAGGUGAGGGACGGACCCUCGUGGGGAGGAGGGGGAAGUGAGGGGCAGGGGUGGAGUCCCUCAGAGCAGACGAGAAAGGCCAAGGAAUGCAGAACGGUACAACCAGCUGUGGAAGAUGGUGUGCCUGUUUCUAAAGAAGCGAAACAUUCUCGCCACACAAUCCAGCAAACACACUCUUUGGUUUUAUCUAAAUAACUGAAAACUUGUUUCCACACAAAAUCCUGCGCAAGGAUAUGUAUAGCAGCUUCAUUCUGAACUGCCAAAACUUGGAAGCAACCAUGAUGUCCUGCAGAGGGGGAUGGAUUAAUAAACUGUGGUUCAUGUAGACAAUAUUGUUCAGCACUGAAAGGAAACACAGUAGCAAGCCGUGAACAGACGCGGAUGAGCCUUGAGUGCACAUCGCUAAGUGGAAGAAGCCAGUCUGGAUGAUUCCGGCCAUCGGACACUCUGGAAAAGGCAGAACCGUGGAGAUAGGAGACGACGACCAGGGGCUGAGCAGCUGGGGGAGGGAGGGACGAACAGGCAGAGCACAGGGUUCCAGGGCAGCAAGACUCCUCUGGCUGCUGUAGGAUUACGUUAGAUACGUGACAUUGUGCGUUUGGGAAACCCCACAGAACAGCACUGAGAGCAAACCCUACUGGAAAUUAGGGGCUUUGGUUAAAGAUGGUAUCAGCUCAUCAACCCUAACACAUGCACCACAUUAAUACGAGAUGUUCUGGUAGGAAAAACAGUGUGUGGGGUGGGGGUAUAUGGGAAUUUGCUGUAUUUUCUGCUCAAUUUUUCUGUGAACCUAAAACUGCUCUGAAAAAAUGAAGUCUAUCAAUUUUUAAAACAUCUGAAAACAUAACAGGCUAAAAAUCAUUCUAGGUCUCAGACGCAAAGCAAACCAUUCCCUUGGUGUAACCAACCAUUUUCUUUAAAGUAAACUACGCAUUAAUAAUUAAAUGCUGCAGACCAGCUACAGGAAGUGCCUGGAAGUCUCUACAAGGUGUGGGUGUCACUCUCGCAGCCCCUAGACAGUUACCCUGGCCAGCUGGGCUGGUGGGCACCCCAACACAAGAGCCGGGAAGCAGCAGGGCUGUGUCGGGGCUCUCAGCCUUGGGCAUCCGUCAGGAGACCCUGGUUUGCUCUGGAGCCAGGGGGUGGUCACUCCCGCACUAGCACCUGCCCGCUCUGUGCCCACAGCCUCUGUCUGCCUCACAGAGCCCACAGCCUGCAUCGAGGCCAGAGAAGCCAGCAGUCGGCAGCAACUGUCAAUCAAUGUACGACCAGGGGUGGGAAAGGGUCCGGACUUGCCACUCACCAGGAGCGGCCCUGGUGUGACGAGGGAGCGUCCACAGCCGACGCAGCACUGAGAAACCAAAAACACUUCUUCUGUAAACUGGGGCAAAGUUUAAGACCUGUCUUCCUGUUUUAAAAAAUGUUCGUUUGUUUAUUUUGAGAGAGAGAAUGAGAGCGAGCGAGUGGGGAAGGGGCAGAGAGAGGGAGAGAGGAUCCCAAGCAGGCUCUGCAGUCGGCAGAGAGCCUCAUGCGGGGCUCAAACUCAUGAACCAUGAGAUCAUGGCUUGAGACGAGAUCGAGAGUCGGGCGCUCAACCGAAUGGGUCACCCAGGCGCCCCUUCCUUCUAAAACAAGGCACAGCAGCCCUCCAGGAUACAGGAGGGGAGGGGACGGACAGAUCUAGAAGUCACCACAUGUUCUGCCUGUCUCCUGUCCUGCAACGGAAACACUUUCGGAGCUGGCUCCCCUUUUAGAGCCAGUCUGGGCCCCCAGAGGCCACCAGGGCCCCAUGUCCCUACAGCCCCAAGGAGCACGGAUGCCUGCCACCCGUGCGUCUCACCUGGAUGAGGAGCCAAAGGGACAAAGCACAAGACGCAGCUUGUCGGCCUGAAAAAGAGGCAAGACCCUCUUCUCACCCCAUGCCUGUGGUUUCCCUGACCUGGGACGGACCUGGCUGGGACGUUCGCAAGCCGGCCAGCACUAGGCUCCCGGAGCCCAGACCCUCCCCCACGAAGGGGAGAAGCUGCAAACACAGUCUCUUCUGCGGGACCUCCGUCCCUGGUGCCCUGGAAAGUUCCCAGCCGCCCCCUGCCACUCCCUGGUUCCUGCUGCCCAGCACUUGGGACACACCGCAUGCGUCUUCUACCUGAUGGCCGGGGGGGGGGGGGGGUGACGCCCAAGGAAAGCGCCUCGCUCCCCUCACCCGUCACACUGAGCAGCUACCUUGGGGCCAAGGAAGGAGCUGCCUCGAGCCCCCCCACAUGGUGCAGCUGUCUGCCAGAGGCCCUCAGUAAAUGCUUCUGCAAGCACAGAACCUGUACACCCUUCCUCACCAGCAUCAGUCCUGAAGCACCUUUGGGCAUGCUUCAAUAUUUAUGGCAUGAUUUGCAAAGACAGGAGCUAACAGGAAAGUCAAAGCUUGACAUUUACAAAACAGAGUAACCGCUUAUUGAAUUAAUGUGAUCAAACGCAUGAGCUGGUAACUGUAAAAUAGUUGCCAUUGACUCCCGGCCACCCAUCUGUUCAGCUCACAGCUACUUUGGAGUCUGCAGGAGGCACACUGGCUAGGUGGCACCUGCUCUCAGGAGCUCACGGUCCCGCACGUAGUUCCCAGCCCAGUCAACUCCAGGACUAGAAGUGUCUACAGGGACAGACAGGCCACAGCAGCGGUGCGACGGGGGACAGCCCCUGGGGAAGCAGACCAGGAGGGCAGACCGGCCCAGGGGCCAGCCGGACAGCUUCCUAGCUUCAGCUUCCCCCCACUCGUUGGGACGUCAGGGCCUGUCUUGCCCACCAGCUCUGGGCGAUGGCAGAGCAGCGGCCACGGCUCCCGGGGCGUUCCUGCCUGGGAACACGCACACCCGUGGCACACGGUCUCCUGUCAGUCAUCAGGACGGGGCAGCGGGGAAGGGGGAAAGUGAAUGUUGUCAGUCUUGCUGCUUAUCUGGCAAAAAUAAAACAAAGCUCCACCCAACCAG
Leopardus geoffroyi (Geoffroy's cat) is the source of this 5037-nucleotide long non-coding RNA. RefSeq lists it as uncharacterized. Lineage: Eukaryota; Metazoa; Chordata; Mammalia; Carnivora; Felidae. The record is from RefSeq and is a predicted model, not a curated record. The transcript has 2 exons.